ACUAAAGUGGCAGAGAAAGUGCAUUGGCUUUAAGCGCCAAACAUAGGUCACCCCCUCUUUAGUU
Molecule: transfer RNA, 64 nt
Filed under: Pandarus rhincodonicus
Lineage: Eukaryota; Metazoa; Arthropoda; Copepoda; Siphonostomatoida; Pandaridae
Description: tRNA-Leu
Source: RNAcentral